This 450-nucleotide ribosomal RNA is filed under the name uncultured bacterium. Its description in RNAcentral is "bacterial SSU rRNA". It matches the Rfam family "Bacterial small subunit ribosomal RNA", at positions 29 to 524 of the family's 1533-position model. The record is from RNAcentral.
AACGAACGCUGGCGGCAUGCCUAACACAUGCAAGUCGAACGAACUCUUCGGAGUUAGUGGCGCACGGGUGCGUAACGCGUGGGAAUCUGCCCUUGGGUACGGAAUAACUCAGAGAAAUUUGUGCUAAUACCGUAUAAUGACUUCGGUCCAAAGAUUUAUCGCCCAAGGAUGAGCCCGCGUAAGAUUAGCUAGUUGGUGGGGUAAAAGCCUACCAAGGCGACGAUCUUUAGCUGGUCUGAGAGGAUGAUCAGCCACACUGGGACUGAGACACGGCCCAGACUCCUACGGGAGGCAGCAGUGGGGAAUAUUGGACAAUGGGCGAAAGCCUGAUCCAGCAAUGCCGCGUGAGUGAUGAAGGCCUUAGGGUUGUAAAGCUCUUUUACCCGGGAUGAUAAUGACAGUACCGGGAGAAUAAGCCCCGGCUAACUCCGUGCCAGCAGCCGCGGUAAU